This 429-nucleotide ribosomal RNA is filed under the name Bacteroidota bacterium. Its description in RNAcentral is "Bacteroidetes bacterium partial 16S ribosomal RNA". It matches the Rfam family "Bacterial small subunit ribosomal RNA", at positions 355 to 776 of the family's 1533-position model. The record is from RNAcentral. Lineage: Bacteria; Pseudomonadati; Bacteroidota.
UAGGGAAUCUUCGGCAAUGGAGGGAACCCUGACCGAGCAACGCCGCGUGAGUGAAGAAGGUUUUCGGAUCGUAAAGCUCUGUUGUUAAGGAAGAACGAGUGUGAGAAUGGAAAGUUCAUACUGUGACGGUACUUAACCAGAAAGGGACGGCUAACUACGUGCCAGCAGCCGCGGUAAUACGUAGGUCCCGAGCGUUGUCCGGAUUUAUUGGGCGUAAAGCGAGCGCAGGCGGUUAGAUAAGUCUGAAGUUAAAGGCAGUGGCUCAACCAUUGUAGGCUUUGGAAACUGUUUAACUUGAGUGCAGAAGGGGAGAGUGGAAUUCCAUGUGUAGCGGUGAAAUGCGUAGAUAUAUGGAGGAACACCAGUGGCGAAGGCGACUCUCUGGUCUGUAACUGACGCUGAGGUUCGAAAGCGUGGGUAGCAAACAGG